This is an RNA transcript of Corticium candelabrum, 1437 nucleotides long. It is a transcript of the gene named centrosomal protein of 128 kDa-like, with no coding region annotated. The transcript has 12 exons. NCBI's taxonomy places the organism in Eukaryota, Metazoa, Porifera, Homoscleromorpha, Homosclerophorida, Plakinidae. The record is from RefSeq and is a predicted model, not a curated record.
GUGACUUGUUGUUGAUUGCAGAUCAGAGCUCAAUAUAGUUUGACAAAGGAAGAGCUUGCUUCAACUUCCCAGGCACGACAGGAUCUAAAAGUUGCAGUAGAUGAACUAACCAAAGUAGUUGAACAAUUGCGUGGUGACUUGCAACGCGAGAUGUCUCAGAGAGAGUUAGUAAAGCAACAGGCUGACCACUAUGAGAAAGUUCUUAGUGACAAGAAAAAUGAAAAGGCAGUGCAUGUGGAGGAAUUACAAAGACUUCAAGCAUUGGUGACAGAGGCUCACACUUCUCUUGACUCAUACAAACAACAACUGGAAAAAUUUGAUCAGGAAAGAGCUGAUCUAAAGUGCAAAGUGAAAGAGCAAAAAACUAGAUUUGAUUUUACACAGCAAAAAUUAGAGAGAGCUGAAAAUGAACUACGAGAAGCACGCAAACAAUUGAAUGAACAAACUCUGCAAUACAGUAAUAGCACCAAACGAACAAACAAAGACCUAGCUGCAGUCAGACAACAACAUAUUGAAGAUUGCAGACAGAUGGAACACCAGAUAGAAAACAUGAGCCAGCAGUUGAGCAAGCUGCGAAGAGAGUUGGCAGAUGUUGAAUCAGAGAAAGCACUGUUAACAGCUGAAUGUCAGCAGACACGUGAUGAGAAAGCUACACUGCACACACAUCAAAACCAGAUGAAAGAGACAUUGAGAGCUAUGAGUGAUGCAAGAGAGAAAAUGGAACUGAGAAAUGAGGAACUUGUUGCCCAGGUGGCACUUUUAAGAGAGGAAAUUACAGCAUUACGCAAGUGUGAGGAAGAAAUGAUUGAUUAUCAGAGGUCACAUGAAGCAUCAACAAGGGCUGAUAUGCAUCAUCUCGUUGCUGAGAUUACGCAGCAGUUGGAGCAGCAGUACAGCUGUCGAGAAAACUUUCAUAGGCUGAGAGCAGAAAAUGAGACAUCAGCUUUGCAGAGUGCCAAGCAAAAGGUUGAUGAACUGGAGGAGGAAAGGAGACAGCUCCAAAAGCAAUAUGCAAGAGAACAACAACAGUGUGAAGCCAUGAAGUCAGAAUUGAGCAUUGUUUACUCUCAAAGACUUCAAGAUGACAAGAUGCGUAAGAAACUGGAGUCUCGCUUGGAGAGGGUAAAUGAAGCUUUGAAUCGUUCAAAGGCAGUUGUCUCAGCAGGCCUGUCUCCUACUAAAUUUGGCCACUUACCUACACUGAAUGGCAAAUGGCACUAACAGUAGCUAGUAAGAGUUUUGUAGUGGCCCAUGCAAGCCCAACUGACUGCUUUCCAGUUGGCAUUGGUUUGAAGGCUGUACAGGUACAACUGAAAGGUGAAAAGUUGAACCAUUACUAAGGAGUACAAACCAGUUACUAUAGACUUGCAUAGUGAUAUGAAGUAAUGAAUUUGAAACUAGGUGGUAAUCCAAUAAACGUUUGUCACAUUGUGAGGC